This is a long non-coding RNA of Cercocebus atys (sooty mangabey), 950 nucleotides long. RefSeq lists it as uncharacterized. The record is from RefSeq and is a predicted model, not a curated record. NCBI's taxonomy places the organism in Eukaryota, Metazoa, Chordata, Mammalia, Primates, Cercopithecidae. The transcript has 5 exons.
GCAUGAUGCAUAGAAGUCACUCAAUAAAUAUUUGGCGAAGUUAGUCACUUUCUGCUGCUCAGACCAGGCUGCCAUUCUUCCUGCCUGGUGCAUUAAUUUUGACGCAGAUCAUUUGGUUGGCCUGCAAACCGUGUCAAAAUGUCAACUACUUUUUCAGAAAACGAACUUUAAUAAACUGCUCAUGCUAACCCAGGUAGUGAGUGAAGGAGCUGAGAAUCAAUCCCAGGUCUUCUGGUUCUUCCGGUCUCAGUUGAACUAAUCUGUUGGUGGGAUUUUGGGGCCAGCCCUCACUCGAGUGAACUGUGCUAUCAGCUGUCUCCUGCAGGCAGUGAAUCCGCAGAAGAGAAGUCAGCCUCUUCAGAGGUGGGCAAAGCCUGGGGACUCUGAAGCCAAGUUGAGAAAGCUAAAGGAAGACAUCAAUAAAACAUCUGCUGGGCCAGGCAUGGUGGCUCACACCUGUAAUCCUAGCACUUUGGGAGGCCGAGGAGACCAGAAUAGGCUGCCCCCAGAUAUGAAGGAUUAUUGAGCUGAAGAAAAUCAAGAAGUAGGUGCAGGAAAACUCUCUUCUCUCUCUCUAUUUGCCUAAGAGCAGGACAUAGAUUUCCGAAGAAGGUGUCCUGCCCCGUCUUCUACCAAGGAGAACGAAGGUUAACCACUGCAGACAGCUUUAGAUGCGUCUCGCUUCUCUGCCUGGAGAUGGUACCAGAGGAAGCUACAUGAACAAGCUUUGCUAAGUACCCUUUAUCUGUGUUAAAUUAAGUCUAGCCUAAUGCCGCCUCCUUACAUAUUCUAAGUUCAACGUACAGGCUGAACUCCAUACUCAGUGAACCAUAACCUAACUGGGUCUGUGAACCUAACUGAAUGUAAUCUACUCUUAGGCCAAUCACUGAGUUUCAGCCAAUGAAAGACAGCCAACUGUUCAAACCGUAUUAAAAAAAAAAAAAAAAAAA